RNAcentral lists this ribosomal RNA (264 nucleotides) under uncultured bacterium. RNAcentral's name for it is "partial 16S ribosomal RNA". It matches the Rfam family "Bacterial small subunit ribosomal RNA", at positions 94 to 353 of the family's 1533-position model. The record is from RNAcentral.
AGUGGCGAACGGCUGAGUAACACGUGGAGAACCUCGCCCCCUCCCCCCGGGACUAGCCGCCCGAAAGGACGGGUAAUACCGGACUACCCCCGGGCGCCGCAUGGCGCCCGGGCUAAAGCCCCGACGGGAGGGGAUGGCUCCGCGGCCCAUCAGGUAGACGGCGGGGUGACGGCCCACCGUGCCGACAACGGGUAGCCGGGUUGAGAGACCGACCGGCCAGAUUGGGACUGAGACACGGCCCAGACUCCUACGGGAGGCAGCAUG